GUCUAUGGCCAUGCCACCCUGAACAAGCCUGAUCCCGUUUGACCUCAGAAGCUAAGCAGGGUCGGGCCUGAUGAGUACUUGGAUGGGAGACUACCUACGAAGACCAGGUGCUGUAGGUG
This 119-nucleotide ribosomal RNA is filed under the name Pteropus alecto (black flying fox). Lineage: Eukaryota; Metazoa; Chordata; Mammalia; Chiroptera; Pteropodidae. The record is from RNAcentral.